GGGACCGGAAAGCAUAACGUAAGUCGAGGUACCUAUAGAUUCCCAAAUCUAAUUUCAGGUACUGUACAUACACAUAUAUGCAUUAUCUAAUUGCGAAACAAACAAGUAGGCGAGGAGGCAGAAUGAGAACUUAUGUGUCUCCGAAUUUACAUAAGUCGGGAUAUUAUGGUAUAUUUCUCAUAAACUGUUACCGCUGAAGAUAACUUCUGAAAAUGAUGGAAAAUAUAUCUAAGUACUAGAAUAACUUUGUUUUGAUCUGAUUCUAUUUUUAGAUUAUUUUGAUUUCUUUGCUUUCAAUUUUUUAUAUUUUUUAUGGCAAUUUUAAUUUAUUAUAUUUAUUCAGAAGAGCAGUUAUUUUGAAUUUCUACUUUUCUAUGCCUUAUUCAAAAAAAUCAAAUGGGAAGUGAUAGCAUUAUUAACAGAAAAAUACUACUGUUUUUUUUUUAUUAUUAUUAUCCCAAAGUAUUAAUUACACAAGGUCAUGGAGGUUGCAGGAAAAUUACAGUACAAUAUAGGAAAGAAGAUGCUAAACAAUUACACAAUCUCCAUGAUGGGUAAGGAUGCUGCUGUCGUUGGUUGGUUAUUCAGGGGGCACCACGUGAAGGUGACAGUCAGACUUUGCCCCCCAUUACUGUAUUUAUUUCCAUAUUCGGAAACAUCUUUUUACCAUUCUCAAUGUUCUUUUCAGUGGCAACGGUUUAUGUUAAUUAUAAUUUUUAAUUUCGCGUUUGACCAUUCCAAGAUUUGUAUAUGUGCAUGUUCUUGUGUUUAUACAUAAUAUCCAAUCAAAAAUAUUCUAAUAUGUAAAAAAUAAGCCAAGUGUAAUAUUAUGAAAUUGGGAUAUUUGUUGGAAUUUGGAUUUGACUAGUUUGGUU
Molecule: long non-coding RNA, 875 nt
Filed under: Androctonus crassicauda
Lineage: Eukaryota; Metazoa; Arthropoda; Arachnida; Scorpiones; Buthidae
Source: RNAcentral